RNAcentral lists this ribosomal RNA (1457 nucleotides) under uncultured Bordetella sp. RNAcentral describes it as "partial 16S-23S ribosomal RNA intergenic spacer". It matches the Rfam family "Bacterial small subunit ribosomal RNA". Lineage: Bacteria; Pseudomonadati; Pseudomonadota; Betaproteobacteria; Burkholderiales; Alcaligenaceae. The record is from RNAcentral.
GUUCGAUUCUGGCUCAGAUUGAACGCUGGCGGGAUGCUUUACAUGCAAGUCGAACGGCAGCACGGACUUCAGUCUGGUGGCGAGUGGCGAACGGGUGAGUAAUGUAUCGGAACGUGCCUAGUAGCGGGGGAUAACUACGCGAAAGCGUAGCUGUACAUACGCCCUUCGGGGGAAAGCAGGGGACCUUCGGGCCUCGCACUAUUAAACGGCCGAUAUCGGAUUAGCUAGUUGGUGGGGUAACGGCUCACCAGGCGACGAUCGUAGCUGGUUUGAGAGGACGACCAGCCACACUGGGACUGAAGGCCGGCCCAGACUCCUACGGGAGGCAGCAGUGGGAAUUUUGGACAAUGGGGAAACCCUGAUCCAGCCAUCCCGCGUGUGCGAUGAAGGCCUUCGGGUUGUAAAGCUUUUGGCGGGAAAACGGCACGGGAUAAUACGUACAGCCUGACGAUACACAGAAUAAGCACCAGCCUAACUACGUGCCAGCAGCCAUGACCAAUACGUAGGGUGCAAGCGUUAAUCGGAAUUACUGGGCGUAAAGCGUGCGCAGGCGGUUCGGAAAGAAGAUGUGAAAUCCAGAGCUUAACUAUGAACUGCAUUUUUUAACUACCGAGCUAGAGUGUAUCAGAGGGGUGGAAUUCCGCGUGUAGCAGUGAAAUGCACGUAGAUAUGCGGAGGAACACCGAUGGCGAAAGCAGCCUCCUGGGAUAACACUGACGCUCAUGCACGAAAGCGUGGGGAGCAAACAGGAUUAGAUACCCUGUUAGUCCACGCCCUAAACGAUGUCAACUAGCUGUUGGGGCCUUCGGGCCUUGGUAGCGCAGCUAACGCGUGAAGUUGACCGCCUGGGGAGUACGGUCGCAAGAUUAAAACUCAAAGGAAUUGACGGGGACCCGCACAAGCGGUGGAUGAUGUGGAUUAAUUCGAUGCAACGCGAAAAACCUUACCUACCCUUGACAUGUCUGGAAUCCGAAGAAUUUGGGAGUGCUCGCAAGAGAACCGGAACACAGGUGCUGCAUGGCUGUCGUCAGCUCGUGUCGUGAGAUGUUGGGUUAAGUCCCGCAACGAGCGCAACCUGUCAUUAGAUUUGCUACGAGGCACUCUAAUGAGACUGCCGGUGACAAACCGGAGGAAGGUGUGGGGAUGACGUCAAGUCCUCAUGGCCCUUAUGGGUAGAGCCACACACGUCAUGCAAUGGUCCGGGAUGGUCGCCAACCCGCGAGGGGAGCCAAUCCCAGAAACCCGAUCGUGAUCCGGACCGCAGUCUGCAACUCGACUGCGUGAAGUCGGAAUCGCUAGUAAUCGCGGAUCAGCAUGUCGCGGUGGGCCCGUUCCCGGGUCUUGUACACACCGCCGUCACACCAUGGGAGUGGGUUUUGCAGAAGUAGUUAGCCUAGCCGUAAGGAGGCGAUUACCACGGUAGGAUUCAUGACUGGGGUGAAGUCGUAACAAGGUAG